This 310-nucleotide long non-coding RNA is filed under the name Eucalyptus grandis. RNAcentral's name for it is "long non-coding RNA (EGRA_LNC007816)". The record is from RNAcentral. Lineage: Eukaryota; Viridiplantae; Streptophyta; Magnoliopsida; Myrtales; Myrtaceae.
AAGCAGUAGCGUGUCGUGGAGGAAACCUGGAUGGGUGGCAGCUUGAUCGAAGUGUUGGGGUCAACUUUGCUGGAGUUUUCUUUCUUUGAUUGAUCAAGGAAGCUAGGUGCUUGGACGUGUGGCAAGAAGAGAAUUCGGUGGGGUGUGGGUCUUCGAUGGAUAGCAAAGAAACGUGGAGAGGUGGACUGCUCGAUGAAGAUGGAUACAAAGAAGGAGUUGGCGUGCACAGGAGACCAACGAAGAAAGAGAGAAUGGGAUGAGGGAGAAAAAUGGUGCAAAAAGUCAAUAAAGGCUAUCCAAAUACUUCAAU